Molecule: ribosomal RNA, 643 nt
Filed under: Chaetopterus variopedatus
Lineage: Eukaryota; Metazoa; Annelida; Polychaeta; Chaetopteridae
Description: SSU rRNA
Rfam family: Eukaryotic small subunit ribosomal RNA
Source: RNAcentral
GAGCACAAUUUAAAUCCUUUAACGAGGAUCUAUUGGAGGGCAAGUCUGGUGCCAGCAGCCGCGGUAAUUCCAGCUCCAAUAGCGUAUAUUAAAGUUGUUGCAGUUAAAAAGCUCGUAGUUGGAUCUCGGGUCCAGGCUUGCGGUCCACCUCGCGGUGGCUACUGCUCGUCCUGACCUACCUCCCGGUUUUCCCUUGGUGCUCUUAGCUGAGUGUCUCGGGUGGCCGGAACGUUUACUUUGAAAAAAUUAGAGUGUUCAAAGCAGGCAUUUCGCCUGAAUAAUGGUGCAUGGAAUAAUGGAAUAGGACCUCGGUUCUAUUUUGUUGGUUUUCGGAACUUGAGGUAAUGAUUAAGAGGGACAGACGGGGGCAUUCGUAUUACGGUGUUAGAGGUGAAAUUCUUGGAUCGCCGUAAGACGAACUACUGCGAAAGCAUUUGCCAAGAAUGUUUUCAUUAAUCAAGAGCGAAAGUCAGCGGUUCGAAGACGAUCAGAUACCGUCGUAGUUCUGACCAUAAACGAUGCCAACUAGCGAUCCGCCGGAGUUGCUUCAAUGACUCGGCGGGCAGCUUCCGGGAAACCAAAGUCUGGUUCCGGGGGAAGUAUGGUUGCAAAGCUGAAACUUAAAGGAAUUGACGGAAGGGCA